AUUGAACGCUGGCGGCAGGCCUAACACAUGCAAGUCGAACGGUAACAGGAAGAAGCUUGCUUCUUUGCUGACGAGUGGCGGACGGGUGAGUAAUGUCUGGGAAACUGCCUGAUUGAGGGGGAUAACUACUGGAAACGGUAGCUAAUACCGCAUAACGUCGCAAGACCAAAGAGGGGGACCUUCGGGCCCCUUGCCAUCGGAUGUGCCCAGAUGGGAUUAGCUAGUAGGUGGGGUAACGGCUCACCUAGGCGACGAUCCCUAGCUGGUCUGAGAGGAUGACCAGCCACACUGGAACUGAGACACGGUCCAGACUCCUACGGGAGGCAGCAGUGGGGAAUAUUGCACAAUGGGCGCAAGCCUGAUGCAGCCAUGCCGCGUGUAUGAAGAAGGCCUUCGGGUUGUAAAGUACUUUCAGCGGGGAGGAAGGGAGUAAAGUUAAUACCUUUGCUCAUUGACGUUACCCACAGAGGAAGCACCGGCUAACUCCGUG
This 490-nucleotide ribosomal RNA is filed under the name uncultured bacterium. RNAcentral's name for it is "partial 16S ribosomal RNA". It matches the Rfam family "Bacterial small subunit ribosomal RNA", at positions 30 to 507 of the family's 1533-position model. The record is from RNAcentral.